CCCAGCCUUCUGAGCUGGGGGCCCGCAGGGUUAGCUCUGGUUGCUCUGGGCACUUGUGGGAGAGCAGGGUCAGAGCGGAGGGCAGGAGUUGGGGGCUGAAUGCUGGUGCCCACCCCAGCACACCCCGCGGUGGGCGAGGCCGCCCCUGCCUCCCUCUCCAAGGAGCAGACCACGAAGUCCGAGAAGCAGAGAGGGGAGAUGGGGAGGGAAUGGCAGUGGGGCUGCAGGGCACGCUCGGGUCAGCACUAACCGCUGGUGUAAAGGGACGAGUGGCCACUUCUGGCGGAACAACAGGCGGCGAUGGAAGGCAGCGCUCAGGACGUCAGCGGGCCUGCGGGGGACGCACUCACCAAGGACCAGCAGCACUUUCCCGCUAGGCGCCCGAUGCGCACUGCAGAGCUCAGGGUCCGGCAGCGCCUCGCAGGCCCGCACCCCGGGCUCUGGCCGCGCCCGAGUACACGUGCGCCUCAGGCCCCGCCCACAGGAGCCCUGGCCACGCCCCUCGCUCAACCACUGCGCGUCCCGUGGACCCUGAUGCGGUGAUCUCAGGAGACCCUCAGCUGCUGCGGUUCCUGGCUGAGUGAGGCCAGGCCCUCAGGCUCCAGCAUGGCCCUGCAAGACCACUGCUGCCCCCCUGCGGCCGUGCAGAGGAGGCUGCCCAUCCUGGCCUGGCUGUUGGACUCUGAAGAUGGACUUCAUCACUGGACUUUCAGUGGGGCUCAAGGUCAUUCCCCACGUGCUGGCCUGUGCUGAGGUGACCUGAUUCCUGCCCCAAGUGGCACCUGUGGCCCCCUUGGGUGCGGGUAGAAAAGAGGUCCCCUCAUCACAGCAGGUCACACUCAUGGAUGAUCGAGG
Long non-coding RNA from Equus caballus (horse), 855 nucleotides. Lineage: Eukaryota; Metazoa; Chordata; Mammalia; Perissodactyla; Equidae. The record is from Ensembl.